UACAGAGGUGGCAAGCGUUGCUCGGAAUUACUGGGCGUAAAGGGCGCGUAGGCGGCCAUCUAAGUCAGACGUGAAAUCCCCCGGCUUAACCUGGGAACUGCGUCUGAUACUGGAAGGCUUGAGUAUGGGAGAGGGAUGUAGAAUUCCAGGUGUAGCGGUGAAAUGCGUAGAUAUCGGAAGGAACAUCAGUGGCGAAAGCGACUUCCUGGACCAAUACUGACGCUCAUGUGCGAAAGCGUGGGGAGCAAACAGG
Molecule: ribosomal RNA, 253 nt
Filed under: uncultured bacterium
Lineage: Bacteria
Description: partial 16S ribosomal RNA
Rfam family: Bacterial small subunit ribosomal RNA
Source: RNAcentral